This 465-nucleotide ribosomal RNA is filed under the name uncultured bacterium. RNAcentral's name for it is "partial 16S ribosomal RNA". It matches the Rfam family "Bacterial small subunit ribosomal RNA", at positions 28 to 507 of the family's 1533-position model. The record is from RNAcentral.
GACGAACGCUGGCGGCGUGCUUAACACAUGCAAGUCGAACGGAAAGGCCCCUUUGGGGGUACUCGAGUGGCGCACGGGUGAGUAACACGUGAGUAACCUGCCCUUGACUUCGGGAUAACUUCAGGAAACUGGGGCUAAUACCGGAUAGGAAUCCUUGCUGCAUGGUGGGGGUUGGAAAGCUUCGGCGGUUUUGGAUGGACUCGCGGCUUAUCAGCUUGUUGGUGGGGUAGUGGCUUACCAAGGCUUUGACGGGUAGCCGGCCUGUGAGGGCGACCGGCCACAUUGGGACUGAGAUACGGCCCAGACUCUUACGGGAGGCAGCCGUGGGGAAUCUUGCACAAUGGGCGGAAGCCUGAUGCAGCAACGCCGCGUGCGGGAGGACGGCCUUCGGGUUGUAAACCGCUUUCAGCAGGGGCGAAGCUUGUGGUGACGGUACCUGCAGAAGAAGCACCGGCUAACUACGUG